This 239-nucleotide ribosomal RNA is filed under the name uncultured bacterium. RNAcentral describes it as "partial 16S ribosomal RNA". It matches the Rfam family "Bacterial small subunit ribosomal RNA", at positions 118 to 354 of the family's 1533-position model. The record is from RNAcentral.
UGAGGAACAUGACUUUCGGCGGGGGAUAGCCGGCCCGACGGCCGGGUAAUACCGCGUACGACCUUUUGGGGACAUCCCCGAUUGGUGAAAGCAGCAAUGCGCCGAAAGAGUGCCUCGCGGCCUAUCAGCUAGUUGGUGGGGUAAUGGCUCACCAAGGCAACGACGCGUAGCCGACCUGAGAGGGUGAUCAGCCACAUUGGAACUGAGACACGGUCCAGACUCCUACGGGAGGCAGCAGG